RNAcentral lists this ribosomal RNA (481 nucleotides) under Anaplasma platys. RNAcentral describes it as "bacterial SSU rRNA". It matches the Rfam family "Bacterial small subunit ribosomal RNA", at positions 76 to 592 of the family's 1533-position model. The record is from RNAcentral. Lineage: Bacteria; Pseudomonadati; Pseudomonadota; Alphaproteobacteria; Rickettsiales; Anaplasmataceae.
CUUGCUAUGAUAAAAAUUAGUGGCAGACGGGUGAGUAAUGCAUAGGAAUCUACCUAGUAGUAUGGGAUAGCCACUAGAAAUGGUGGAUAAUACUGUAUAAUCCCUGCGGGGGAAAGAUUUAUCGCUAUUAGAUGAGCCUAUGUUAGAUUAGCUAGUUGGUAGGGUAAAGGCCUACCAAGGCAGMGAUCUAUAGCUGGUCUGAGAGGAUGAUMAGCCACACUGGAACUGAGAUACGGUCCAGACUCCUACGGGAGGCAGCAGUGGGGAAUAUUGGACAAUGGGCGCAAGCCUGAUCCAGCUAUGCCGCGUGAGUGAGGAAGGCCUUAGGGUUGUAAAACUCUUUCAGUGGGGAAGAUAAUGACGGUACCUACAGAAGAAGUCCCGGCAAACUCCGUGCCAGCAGCCGCGGUAAUACGGAGGGGGCAAGCGUUGUUCGGAAUUAUUGGGCGUAAAGGGCAUGUAGGCGGUUCGGUAAGUUAAA